Molecule: transfer RNA, 71 nt
Filed under: Ophichthus rotundus
Lineage: Eukaryota; Metazoa; Chordata; Actinopteri; Anguilliformes; Ophichthidae
Description: tRNA-Val
Rfam family: tRNA
About the family: Transfer RNA (tRNA) molecules are approximately 80 nucleotides in length.
Source: RNAcentral
UAGAAUAUAGCUAAACAGAAAAGCAUCUCACUUACACCGAGAAAACAUUCGUGCAAAUCGAUUUAUUCUAA